This 1803-nucleotide long non-coding RNA is filed under the name Salmo salar (Atlantic salmon). Its description in RNAcentral is "lncRNA (ENSSSAG00000102770.1)". The record is from RNAcentral. Lineage: Eukaryota; Metazoa; Chordata; Actinopteri; Salmoniformes; Salmonidae.
GGGACCAACACUUUACAUGUGUUUAUAUUUUAGUUCAGUGCAUAUAGUACUCAAAUUCAUGUUGCUAAGUUCAAAAGAAAACAAGAUAAAAAUGGCUGACACCAAUGAGGGUUAGAAACUUUAAAAGACAAUUCUCAGAAUCCUCUUAACCAUAUAGCUCUCAUCAUUGAUUUGAUUUACUGAAGGGCUUUUCUGUAUAGUUGUCCAAUGUUGGUGAGGCAUAUUAACCUGUUUUAAUAAUACUCCUGAAUUACUUUGAUCAAUAAAAGCAUUUAUUGAGUGUACUUUUAACACAGCUGAGAUUUACUUCAAAGUGCAUUCACCCUAUUGCUUCCACCUAUCAAGGUGUUUCAGAUCUACAUUUACAUGAGGAGGGGGUACUGUCACAUUCUUAGCAAUAUACGUUGUAAUUUUCAUAUUCUAUAUUUACAGCAGCAUGUCUUUACUUUCUCAAAUGUACCAUUUAAGCAACGAUGAUGUCAGUUAUACCAAAACAACACAGAGUUCCGUCUCCAAGUUUUAAUGUGGAUAAACACACACUGCAAACAGAAUAACUUGGGACAAAUCACAGAAAUAACAAUAUGUUAAAGGGGAAAUCUGCAGUUGCUGCAUCCAUUUUAGAACUUUAAAAUGAAUGAUAUACAUGAUGUAGAUUCCCAGAUGCUCAUCUAUAUAGAAUGAAUAAAUAGUGAACAGAAGGUAGUGGAAAAGCAGUCAUAGUAGGUGCUCAAGGGGUAAUCAUACAGACUCCCCUUUUUCAAUGAGAAACUCAUUUUAAUUAGACCAGAUAGGUGUGUUGUAACAUUAAUAUAUACUGCAAAGAAUGUGACAGUAGAGUGCCUCCUCUAGAGGGUCUCAAACCCAGGCCACCAGCACCAAUGAUGAAAGCCCUAACCACUACCCCAGUAAGGGAUAUCUCUAGAACAUGUACUUAUUGGGCCAGUAUAGUUAGGCCCUGUCCUGAAUAACCCCUAACCCCUCCAGUAUAGUUAGGCCCUGUCCUGAAUAACCCCUAACCCCUCCUCUCCAGUAUAGUUAGGCCCUGUCCUGAAUAACCCCCUAACCCCUCCUCCCCAGUAUAGUUAGGCCCUGUCCUGAAUAACCCCUAACCCCUCCUCUCCAGUAUAGUUAGGCCCUGUCCUGAAUAACCCCUAACCCCUCCUCUCCAGUAUAGUUAGGCCCUGUCCUGAAUAACCCCUCCUCUCCAGUAUAGUUAGGCCCCGUCCUGAAUAACCCCUAACCCCUCCUCCCUAGGCACUUGAUCUGAAACAGCCUGAUAGGUGGAAUCUCAGCUCUGGUGAAAUUACACUCAAGAAAAUAUCUUAAUGAUCACACUAGUGAUUCAGGAGUAUCAUUCAAUACAGGUUAAAAUGACCCGCCAAAGUCAGACAAUUAUACAGAAAGCCAUUAAAUUGCUGAAAUAAGUAUAUCAAAUAAAUUAUGAGCGAAUAGUCAGAUUAACUGAGACCCAAUAUGGAGGCGUAGCAGGAAGAUCAGAGUACCAUGAACCAAGAGGUUGUGAGUUCAAAUCCCAGGUGAGAAUAAUAAUUACUGUAAAAAUGAACAUGCACUAUGUCAUCACGUUAGUCAAAAUGUGUCAAAUAUGAUAGUUGAAAACAGUAUGUUAAAAGCACUGUGUGUGUGAGUCUCCUUGACAACAGACAAAGAACUAUGAGUGGAUCAGUGGUUCACCAAGCAGGGCCUUGAUUGGCUCAGAAACAGAAGCAGGGCCUUGAUUGGCUCAGAAACAGAAGCAGGGCCUUGAUUGGCUCAGCAACAGAAGCAGGGCCUUGAUUGGCUCAG